UGAUUCCGAUAACAUUAGAUAAAAUCUGCUCAUUUAUUUUAUAUUUCAACUAGUUUAAAUUCAAUGCCAAUUUUCUUUCCUUGAAAUAUAUUUGACUUUCUAUUGCAUUAAGAAAAUAAAGUUUAAAGGGAAGAUAUUGCCUAUAUUCCACUUUAAAACAAAACAAAACAAAAACAAAACAAAACAAACAAACAAACAAACAAACAAACAAAAACAAACCAGAAAACAACAAAAAAACAAAACCCAAAAACUUGCAUAUGACUGGUAAAAAUAAAAAUGUAGCAAUAAAGAAUGCCUCCAUAUUUUCUCUCCAACUAGCAGGGAGGGAAAGGAAAGAAAAGUCAAUACUUGGCUGGAAUCAUGAGCAGCUUGUUGGCUGAGUUAAUCAGUCAGGAGCCCUGCAGCUGGUCAGCUUCACCUCACCGAUAAAUGUCACAACUCUCUGCUGUCAAUAUGAAUUACCAGAAAAGGUUUCCUAGAAACUAAGGAUGGGGGAGCCAUUUUCCUUUGAAUGAAUUAUACAGGCCAAAAUAAUACUGAAACAAGAUUAGGAUGGGUUGCUCUAAUUGACUAGGCAAUUAUUUAAAUGUACCCCGGAGGUAAGACAAACCAUAGAAAAUAAUGCAGCCCAGGUUACAAAAUGCAAGAAAUUUGUGCAUUUAACAAAGGUUUAAAAGGUUACGCUUAAAAGAUGAUGUACUAAGUCACAAGCAAGUUUGCUUUAGUUUUCAGUGCUGGGAAGGGUAUCUGAGGAAACACAAGUUUUCUAUAUAAAAUCAAGGAAGGCAAAUAAUGCCUGAAGUUACAGGAAAAGUUUCCUCUUUGAUUCACUUGCUACAUGCUUUAUGUAGCAACAGCAGAGUUCCUCUCUGGAGGGGGUAAAGGGAGCAAACCUACACAGCUGUGACCCAUGCUCCAAAAACAGGAGGUGGCUACAAAGUGCAGGGCUUUUGCACUGCCCAUAUGGAAUAAAAGGAGAACUUGGAAAAAAUACCAUGAUCCUACUUUUUUUUUUUUUUUUUUUUUUUAUUUUUUUUUUUUUUUUUUCCCUCCUGGUUUGCUCACAGAGGAUAAGGAGCACCCACCAAUUUGUGAGCAGGUUGAGUGGGAAUAACUGCGUGAACACUGUGGAGCUUUGUCUCUCUUUUUAUUGGGGAAUUAUAUACAGGUUAACCCCAACACAGAAUUCAGAUGUAGCACUGAACUAGAUAGGCAAGUUCAGACAGAAGAAAAAAUCUCCUCCCUGUCUGGACCGGGCUAGUGUUAUCAGGAGCUGUGGACACUGCAGUAAUGCAGAAGAGACAGACAGAAGCCAAGCAGUAAAUUGACCCACUCAUUUCUCCCUGCUGGAACACUCCCAAAGAGCUUUUCUUUUAUAUAAUAAACACCUCCAUUGCUCACUUGAAGGUCA
RNAcentral lists this long non-coding RNA (1411 nucleotides) under Anas platyrhynchos platyrhynchos (common mallard). RNAcentral describes it as "lncRNA (ENSAPLG00000020860.1)". The record is from RNAcentral. Lineage: Eukaryota; Metazoa; Chordata; Aves; Anseriformes; Anatidae.